AGAGUUUGAUCCUGGCUCAGAUUGAACGCUGGCGGCAUGCCUAACACAUGCAAGUCGAACGGAAACGAUGGGAGCUUGCUCCCAGGCGUCGAGUGGCGGACGGGUGAGUAAUACUUAGGAAUCUACCCAGUAGCGGGGGACAACUCGAGGAAACUCGAGCUAAUACCGCAUACGCCCUACGGGGGAAAGCAGGGGAUCUUCGGACCUUGCACUAUUGGAUGAGCCUAAGUCGGAUUAGCUUGUUGGUGAGGUAAAGGCUCACCAAGGCGACGAUCCGUAGCUGGUCUGAGAGGACGAUCAGCCACACUGGGACUGAGACACGGCCCAGACUCCUACGGGAGGCAGCAGUGGGGAAUAUUGGACAAUGGGGGCAACCCUGAUCCAGCAAUGCCGCGUGUGUGAAGAAGGCCUGCGGGUUGUAAACUCCUGUCGAUCGGGAAGAAUGCGUCCGGCCCAAUACGCCGGCACGUUGACUGUACCGGUAGAGGAAGCCACGGCUAACUCUGUGCCAGCAGCCGCGGUAAGACAGAGGUGGCAAGCGUUGUUCGGAAUUACUGGGCGUAAAGGGCGCGCAGGCGGUUCGCCAAGUCCCGUGUGAAAUCCCCCGGCUCAACUGGGGAACUGCGCGGGAAACUAGCGGACUUGAGUUCGGGAGAGGAAAGCGGAAUUCCGGGUGUAGCGGUGAAAUGCGCAGAUAUC
Molecule: ribosomal RNA, 699 nt
Filed under: uncultured bacterium
Lineage: Bacteria
Description: bacterial SSU rRNA
Rfam family: Bacterial small subunit ribosomal RNA
Source: RNAcentral